GAGCUUGACUGCGAGACCUACAAGUCGAGCAGGGUCGAAAGACGGACUUAGUGAUCCGGUGGUUCCGCAUGGAAGGGCCAUCGCUCAACGGAUAAAAGCUACCCCGGGGAUAACAGGCUUAUCUCCCCCAAGAGUUCACAUCGACGGGGAGGUUUGGCACCUCGAUGUCGGCUCAUCGCAUCCUGGGGCUGUAGUCGGUCCCAAGGGUUGGGCUGUUCGCCCAUUAAAGCGGUACGCGAGCUGGGUUCAGAACGUCGUGAGACAGUUCGGUCCCUAUCCGUCGUGGGCGUAGGAAAUUUGAGAGGAGCUGUCCUUAGUACGAGAGGACCGGGAUGGACAUACCUCUGGUGUACCAGUUGUCGUGCCAACGGCAUAGCUGGGUAGCUAUGUAUGGACGGGAUAAGUGCUGAAAGCAUCUAAGCAUGAAGCCCCCCUCGAGAUGAGAUUUCCCAACUUCGGUUAUAAGAUCCCUCAAAGAUGAUGAGGUGAAUAGGUUCGAGGUGGAAGCGUAGCGAUACGUGGAGCUGACGAAUACUA
This 537-nucleotide ribosomal RNA is filed under the name Staphylococcus pseudintermedius. Its description in RNAcentral is "partial 23S ribosomal RNA". It matches the Rfam family "Bacterial large subunit ribosomal RNA", at positions 2365 to 2903 of the family's 2925-position model. The record is from RNAcentral. Lineage: Bacteria; Bacillati; Bacillota; Bacilli; Caryophanales; Staphylococcaceae.